UAUCUCAGUUGGUAGAGCAUGGUGUUUGCAACGCCAGGGUUGUGGGUUCGAUUCCCAC
Salmo salar (Atlantic salmon) is the source of this 58-nucleotide non-coding RNA. Lineage: Eukaryota; Metazoa; Chordata; Actinopteri; Salmoniformes; Salmonidae. The record is from Rfam.